RNAcentral lists this ribosomal RNA (667 nucleotides) under uncultured marine eukaryote. RNAcentral describes it as "SSU rRNA". It matches the Rfam family "Eukaryotic small subunit ribosomal RNA", at positions 619 to 1287 of the family's 1831-position model. The record is from RNAcentral.
UUAAAAAGCUCGUAGUUGGAUCUCGGCGGACUGAGGGCGGUUUGCUUGCUAGUAUUACUGCCCUAUAGUCCGUAGUUUUGCCAGAGGUUUCGGGGUGCUCUUAAUCGAGUGUCCCGGGAUGCUGGCAGGUUUACUUUGAAAAAAUUAGAGUGCUCAAAGCAGGCUAUUACGCCUGAAUAUUCGUGCAUGGAAUAAUAGAAUAGGAAGUCGUUUCUAUUUUGUUGGUUUUCGGAAAUCGACUUAAUGAUUAAUAGGGACAGUCGGGGGCAUUAGUAUUCAAGCGACAGAGGUGAAAUUCUUGGACCGCUUGAAGACUAACUACUGCGAAAGCAUUUGCCAAGAGUGUUUUCAUUAAUCAAGAAUGAAAGUUAGAGGUUCGAAGGCGAUUAGAUACCGCCCUAGUUCUAACCAUAAACGAUGCCAGCUAGCGAUCUGCCGACGUUUUUUUUGUAGACUCGGCAGGAAGCUUCCGGGAAACCAAAGCAUUUGGGUUCCAGGGGAAGUAUGGUUGCAAAGCUGAAACUUAAAGGAAUUGACGGAAGGGCACCACCAGGAGUGGAGCCUGUGGCUUAAUUUGACUCAACACGGGAAAUCUCACCAGGCCCGGACACUGGAAGGAUUGACAGAUUGAUAGCUCUUUCUUGAUUCGGUGGGUGGUGGUGCAUGG